Haliotis rubra (blacklip abalone) is the source of this 123-nucleotide long non-coding RNA. RefSeq lists it as uncharacterized. NCBI's taxonomy places the organism in Eukaryota, Metazoa, Mollusca, Gastropoda, Lepetellida, Haliotidae. The record is from RefSeq and is a predicted model, not a curated record. The transcript is spliced from 3 exons.
GAUUAACGAGAAUGUACCAUGUUUAGAGAUUGACAUUUUUCAUUGAAAACUAACGAGGAGUGAUUUUUGAGGAUGAAUAGAAUCUCACCAUCAUGUCCUCUGAAAUAAAAUAUAUCAACGCUC